Small nuclear RNA from Phyllostomus discolor (pale spear-nosed bat), 108 nucleotides. The record is from RefSeq and is a predicted model, not a curated record. NCBI's taxonomy places the organism in Eukaryota, Metazoa, Chordata, Mammalia, Chiroptera, Phyllostomidae.
GUGCUCACUUCAGCAGCACAUACACUAAAAUUUCAACAAUAUGGAAAAGAUUAGCAUGACCCCUGCACAAGGAUGACAUACAAAUUCUAAAAAGCAAAAAGGACUCAU